CCCUUUCGGGGGUACACGAGCGGCGAACGGGUGAGUAACACGUGGGUGACCUGCCUUUAGCUCUGGGAUAAGCCUGGGAAACUGGGUCUAAUACCGGAUAUGACUCCAUAGUGCAUGCUUGUGGGGUGGAAAGCCUUGUGCGGCUAGGGAUGGGCCCGCGGCCUAUCAGCUUGUUGGUGGGGUGAUGGCCUACCAAGGCGACGACGGGUAGCCGGCCUGAGAGGGCGACCGGCCACACUGGGACUGAGACACGGCCCAGACUCCUACGGGAGGCAGCAGUGGGGAAUCUUGCGCAAUGGGCGAAAGCCUGACGCAGCGACGCCGCGUGAGGGAUGACGGCCUUCGGGUUGUAAACCUCUUUCAGCCCUGACGAAGCGAGAGUGACGGUAGGGGCAGAAGAAGCACCGGCCAACUACGUGCCAGCAACCGCGGUAAUACGUAGGGUGCAAGCGUUGUCCGGAAUUAUUGGGCGUAAAGAGCUCGUAGGCGGUCUGUCGCAUCGGCUGUGAAAACUCGGGGCUCAACCCCGAGCUUGCAGUCGAUACGGGCAGGCUGGAGUUCGGCAGGGGAGACUGGAAUUCCUGGUGUAGCGGUGAAAUGCGCAGAUAUCACGAGGAACACCGGUGGCGAAAGCGGGUCUCUGGGCCGAUACUGACGCUGAGGAGCGAAAGCGUGCGGAGCGAACAGGAUUAUAUACCCUGGUAGUCCACGCCGUAAACGUUGGGCGCUAGGUGUGGGAUCCCUUCCACGGGUUCCGUGCCGCAGCUAACGCAUUAAGCGCCCCGCCUGGGGAGUAC
Molecule: ribosomal RNA, 797 nt
Filed under: uncultured bacterium
Lineage: Bacteria
Description: bacterial SSU rRNA
Rfam family: Bacterial small subunit ribosomal RNA
Source: RNAcentral